This 69-nucleotide transfer RNA is filed under the name Ictidomys tridecemlineatus (thirteen-lined ground squirrel). RNAcentral describes it as "Spermophilus tridecemlineatus (thirteen-lined ground squirrel) tRNA". It matches the Rfam family "tRNA". From Rfam's summary of the family: Transfer RNA (tRNA) molecules are approximately 80 nucleotides in length. Their secondary structure includes four short double-helical elements and three loops (D, anti-codon, and T loops). RNAcentral also lists the same sequence under 1 other name. Lineage: Eukaryota; Metazoa; Chordata; Mammalia; Rodentia; Sciuridae. The record is from Rfam by way of RNAcentral.
GGGGCCAUGGCUCAGUGGUAGAGCGCUUGCCUAGCAUGCAUGAGGCACUGGGUUCAAUCCUCAGCACCA